Molecule: long non-coding RNA, 3387 nt
Filed under: Paramuricea clavata
Lineage: Eukaryota; Metazoa; Cnidaria; Anthozoa; Malacalcyonacea; Plexauridae
Source: RNAcentral
GGCCUAUAGCGAUUUUGACAUAUUGCGUCCUUUCUUAAGAACGAGGCAAGAACAUAUUAUUUCCACAUAUUGCAUGAAUGUUUUGACACAUAUAAGAACGAGUAAAUUGUAUGUAUGUUGACAAGCAACAGCAUAUUGUACUGAUCUAUUGCGUCGUUUCUUAAGAACGAAGCAACGACAUAUUAUAUUGAUUUAAAAAACUCAUUAAUAAUUCAGGAGCAAAACACAAAGAAAAAUCAUAAGCGUGUCGUGGUUUUAUAUGUGAUAAAAAAUCACGUUAAUUUACAUAAACUUUAGCUUUGAUUUUCUCGGUUUAGACAAAGUUUAUUUUAAAAAUUUCUUCGCCAAUGAACUCGUAUAAGAUGAGUCGUUUUUUAAGCUAUUUAAAGCACUUGUAGUCGUGUUUUAUCACAUAUAAAACACUCCGCUACGCGUCGUGUUUUAUAUGUGAUACUUCACUCCUACGCGUGCUUUAAAUAGUACAUAUUGCGUGAAUUUUUUUACAAGCAACAACAUAAAUUAUAUUUAUAUAUUGCGUCUGUCUUAUGGACGAGGCAACAACAUAUUAUAUUGAUAUAUUGCGUCUGUCUUAUGGACGAGGCAACAACAUAUUAUAUUGAUAUAUUGCGUCGUUUCUUAAGAACGAAGCAACGACAUAUUAUAUUGAUAUAUGGCGUGAAUUUUUUGACAAGCAACAACAAAUAUCAUAUUGAUAUAUUGCGUCUGUCUUAAGGACGAGGCAACAACAUAUUAUAUUGAUAUAUUGCGUCGUUUCUUAAGAACGAAGCAACGACAUAUUAUAUUGAUAUAUUUCGUCAUUUGCGUGAAUUUUUAGACAUAUCAAGAACGAGUAUUUAAAUUGUAUGUAUAUGGAGCUGUGUAUGGAGCUGCUCGAAACAUGAAACGGUGUUGUGUGCUCGCUCAGACGGAUCGUAAACUCAAGAUUUUUCGUCCGUACCAUCGGCCGUACGAAUCGUACGGAUGGUAAUGUCUUUCGUGGGGUGCAUGCAGGAUGCGCAGCAUGAUGCAAUUAUUUAGAUCAGACCACGUGAUGGAAAGGAAGUCACGAAACGAAAAUAUAGGUUACGGAUGGUAAAUAAUUUUGUCCAUCCGUAUACAUGCGGCAGUAUUGGACAUGUAUGCCCGUGGAUUGGCGUAAGCGUGGAUUGGCGUGAGCGAGUUAAAAUUUUCGUGGACGUAAAACAAUAAGGGAAACGACUAGAGUUACGCUUCUGCUAUACCUUCUUAUUCUGUGACCUCGAGGAGUGAGCUAUUGUGAUUAAUACGGUGUUUUCAACUGUUUUGUUCUGUUAUCUCGCAAUAGAGGAACAAAUCAAGUCAAAUAUGGUAUUUUAAGCAAAAGCACAUGUUCAAGAAUGUUGGGGACCUCUUUUACAUUCAAAUGAACUCAAUCGUAAAGAAACGUGUCUAUAUUUUUGACGACGUUUCUGAGUGCGACUGAUAUGAAUCAUGAAUACAGUCGUGACAACACCUUUAAAAUGGGAAUUUCUGAUAGAGAUCGGUGAAUUAUACCAUAAGUUAACACAUGAGAAAUGAGGAAAUUGGUCAUGAACUUUAUUGUUUUGGAAAUGGUGAAUUUUAAUAUGGACAAGAUCAUAAUAUACUCAUAUCACCGCAAACAAAUUUAUGUCGCUUGUGGGAUUUGUUAAAGGAACAAAUGAUUCAGGAUGGUAGAAAAAAUAGCAGGUGCGUUGUAGUGACCUUAUUUAUGUUAAUGGUGGGUGCUUAAACGCAAUGUCUUGUGAGAAUAUAUACCAUACCAUCCCUGCUUGUGUAAUAUGUACUUCGUUAUUAAAGUCAUAGUCAUGAUUAAUUAUCACUCUUCUGAGAAGACCUCAAUGGUGUUUUAUUCCAAAUUAAGAAGCAGAUUAAAAUUAAUAAAUUUGAAAGAAAUUGAAAGUUGUAAAAUAAUGGUAUCUCAUUUCUGUGCUUUUUAGAUCCUAUAGAGACAGUAUAAAGUGAAGAUGGAACAAUGUUGCAAACAGUUACUUUCAGUUGCAUGUCUAUAUAUGCAUUAAUUAUAUGGAAUUGUAUAAAAACAAUUUAAUUGUAAAGGGUCUCUAGUAUUAUAGGAUCUGUGUGAAAUUCCAGUAGUUUGUUGCCAAAUACUCAUUUAGUGUGUUUUGCCAAAUAAAGUUUAACUGCCUCGUAUGAGGUAAAAAUGGUUGUAACAAAAUGCAGGUUGAAAUCAAGCCUUCAAAAGCAUUUAAACCCGCAUUAAUAUUUGCUCUAUCUAGUGCCAGAUGAUUUUACUCAUUAGUUAAUUUCUGUAAUACUGCAAGUGAACUGUUUAACAGAAGUCAUCUAUCUGUAUACAUGGUCAUUACUCAACUGUUGUCACUGCUUUGUUUUUAGGAGCCAACCAUUUAACUUUUGAGGGGGGGGGGGGUGAUUUUGAAAAAAAAUUUCCUGCAAGGCUAUUCUGAACAAAAAAAAUACCUGCACUAACAAACUGAGGGAAAAAAUAUCCUGCCUGGCAUUAUUUGGUGGGGAAAAAAUGUUGCAAAACACCAUGGUUGCAAGGAUCAAUUUGACCAAUCACAGAAGAUCAGCUGGUUUGAUUUUCAGGGACUAGUGUAAGGUUAAUAUCUUGUUGGAAAACUCCUCAAAGUGAGCUUCAAGAAAUCCAGGCAUGCGCCCAGAGGGAGGGGGCAUGCCCCCAGACCCCUCUAGAGGCUCCCACCUUUGGUGGUCGACUCGGUUGUCUCAGAAUUCUAGGUAUGGCCUGAUCUGCUGCCCUAUGGCACAUACUUAUUAGUUAAACCAUGCAUACAUAUGUUGCAGGUAGCUGCAGCGACACAGACUUGCCGACUGGGUCAUCUCCCCGUCCCCCGCUAAAUAUGUCCCUUCCAGUUGCACAUCCUUACAGGGCCGUAGCAACAGGGGGGGGCAGCCCCUCCCCCCUUCCCCAAUAAUUUGCUAAUAAUCAUUUUUUUUCCAAAUCAUGCAGACCUUUAUCAUUUAAUCCAUGACAAACUGCAAAGAAUGAAGAUAUUACCCAUACUUUCCUGCAACUUAUCCAAUAUAUAGUUAAUUAAAUACGCCUUUGUCCAUUUAGUACUACUAAAUUGUCAAUUUGAACAUACUAAAACGCUGCUUUCUGACCAUCAGAAUUCUGUCAAAUCUUCCCCAAAGUCCAGGAAGUGGCAUUUCAUAGACUUUACAUUUAAAAAUUUCCUUGGUCUUUCGGCCCUCGCAUUCAGCCCCCCGAAUCGAAAAGAGCUUCCUAUGGCCCUGCCUUAAAAGAGGCCCUGAACCAAAUGUUAUACCUCAUAGCAAUAUGUAUUAUUAAAAGCAAUGCAUGAAGCUAGAAAACUCAACGUUAACUAUAAUUAAAGAAUCUAAAUAGUGUAAGCUAUUGAAAAA